This 430-nucleotide long non-coding RNA is filed under the name Homo sapiens (human). Its description in RNAcentral is "HSALNT0220302". The record is from RNAcentral. Lineage: Eukaryota; Metazoa; Chordata; Mammalia; Primates; Hominidae.
UACCUUGACUCCAACUCAGUGACUACAAAGAACUGCAAACAGGUGUGAAAACAAGCAAUAGGUCAUCUCUGGCAUUACCUGGGAAUUCAAGUUCAGCCCUGCAUUCUCCCUCUGGGCAAUUCUGGUAGAGACCAUGAGGCAACCCCUGGGAGGAGCAGUAGCCAUAACAGGAUCCCUCCACAGCAACCCCAGGGCUAAGACCAGUGGGUGCAAAACACCUUCUUUACCAGGUGACGCCAUCGCCUCAACUCCUGCAGUGGUCAAUAUGGUCAAUAUUAAGUUCACAAACAUGGGAACUUCCUGACAUCAUCACAGAAGGAAUGAAAAUGCAGUUGGGGUGGCUGGUACAUUUUAGAAUAAGGCUGGUUCUCCUGGGAGGAAAGAGGUUAUUAUUCUAUGUCUUCCAAUGGAAUAAAAAUUCUUGCUAAAG